CGGGUGAGUAAUGUAUGGGGAUCUGCCUGAUGGAGGGGGAUAACUACUGGAAACGGUAGCUAAUACCGCAUAACGUCGCAAGACCAAAGAGGGGACCUUCGGGCCUCUUGCCAUCGGAUGUGCCCAGAUGGGAUUAGCUAGUAGGUGGGGUAACGGCUCACCUAGGCGACGAUCCCUAGCUGGUCUGAGAGGAUGACCAGCCACACUGGAACUGAGACACGGUCCAG
RNAcentral lists this ribosomal RNA (227 nucleotides) under uncultured bacterium. RNAcentral describes it as "partial 16S ribosomal RNA". It matches the Rfam family "Bacterial small subunit ribosomal RNA", at positions 103 to 334 of the family's 1533-position model. The record is from RNAcentral.